This 841-nucleotide ribosomal RNA is filed under the name uncultured bacterium. RNAcentral's name for it is "bacterial SSU rRNA". It matches the Rfam family "Bacterial small subunit ribosomal RNA", at positions 137 to 974 of the family's 1533-position model. The record is from RNAcentral.
UGGGGGAUAGCGGUGGGAAACUGCCAGUAAUACCCCAUGCCCUUGCGGAGUGGCAUUAUUUUGCAAGGAAAGUUACGGCGGUUGAGGAUUGGUGUGCGUCCGAUUAGCUAGUUGGCGGGGUAACGGUCCACCAAGGCGACGAUCGGUAGGGGGUGUGAGAGCAUGGCCCCCCACACGGGUACUGAGACACGGACCCGACUCCUACGGGAGGCAGCAGUAAGGAAUAUUGGACAAUGGGCGGAAGCCUGAUCCAGCCAUGCCGCGUGAAGGAAGAAGGCGCUCAGCGUUGUAAACUUCUUUUGAAUGGGAACAAUAACCUCGACGUGUUCGGGGCUUGAGGGUACCAUUAGAAUAAGCACCGGCUAACUCCGUGCCAGCAGCCGCGGUAAUACGGAGGUGUCGAGCGUUGUCCGGAAUCACUGGGCGUAAAGAGCCCGCAGGCGGCUUGCCAAGUUCGAGGUGAAAUCUCCCGGCUCAACCGGGAGGGUGCCUCGAAAACUGGCAGGCUUGAGGCAGGGAGAGGGAUGUGGAAUUCCCGGUGUAGUGGUGAAAUGCGUAGAUAUCGGGAGGAACACCAGUGGCGAAGGCGGCAUCCUGGCCCUGUCCUGACGCUCAGGGGCGAAAGCGUGGGGAGCAAACCGGAUUAGAUACCCGGGUAGUCCACGCCGUAAACGAUGAGUACUAGGUGUAGGGGGUAUCGACCCCCUCUGUGCCGAAGCUAACGCGAUAAGUACUCCGCCUGGGGACUACGGCCGCAAGGCUAAAACUCAAAGGAAUUGACGGGGGCCCGCACAAGCAGCGGAGCGUGUGGUUUAAUUCGAUGAUACGCGAAGAACCUCAC